RNAcentral lists this long non-coding RNA (622 nucleotides) under Gallus gallus (chicken). Lineage: Eukaryota; Metazoa; Chordata; Aves; Galliformes; Phasianidae. The record is from RNAcentral.
CUGCGCUUUUCUUGGUUUUUGGUGAUGUCACUUUUCGUGUUCUGGUAGCUACCGCUUUGGAAGAAGCAGGCUUCUUUUUUUCUGGACUUCCUGCAUCUUCCAUUUCUGCUUCACUGCUCUCAUUGGCUGCAGCUGCUGCCUUUCUUUUUUUCUUUUGUACAGGGUUCGUUUGCACGUCUCCGUUUUCUGACAAGCCAAAGUCAAGUACUCCAUCAUCUUUUUGUCCAAUGGACUUGAGACCUUGCAGAAGUAUUUCUCGGAAAUGUGGAUACACAGGUUUCUCUUCAUAGCUCAGUUGCUUCACCUUUUCCAUAUAUUUCCUUAUUUCAUCUGGUUUAUUUUUCCCAGGAAAGCAUUUUUCCAUCAACUCAGAAAUGUUAUCUCUACAUCUGAUUUUUGAGUCCCUGACAAAGUUUGGAUCUUUCAAAUUAUCCUCCCACGGUAGAUGGCCACUAAGCCAAUGAACCAUACAGUAACCUAAGAUCUCCAGAUCCCCACGUCUCGAUGGUGCCACACCCUUGUGUGCAUCUAUACUGGUAUAUUCAAUAGUUCCAUCAUGACACCUUUUAGGAUCUUCCUUAUAUGCUUUGUGAACUCCUUCAGGACAGUAUCGAUAGGCAAG